This 253-nucleotide ribosomal RNA is filed under the name uncultured bacterium. RNAcentral's name for it is "partial 16S ribosomal RNA". It matches the Rfam family "Bacterial small subunit ribosomal RNA", at positions 524 to 776 of the family's 1533-position model. The record is from RNAcentral.
UACGUAGGGGGCAAGCGUUGUCCGGAUUUAUUGGGCGUAAAGAGCGUGUAGGCGGCCAGGUAGGUCUGCUGUGAAAACUCGAGGCUUAACCUCGAGCUGUCGGCGGAAACCAUCUGGCUAGAGUCCGGAAGAGGAGAAUGGAAUUCCCGGUGUAGCGGUGAAAUGCGCAGAUAUCGGGAAGAACACCCGUGGCGAAGGCGGUUCUCUGGGACGGUACUGACGCUGAGACGUGAAAGCGUGGGGAGCGAACAGG